This 251-nucleotide ribosomal RNA is filed under the name uncultured Methylococcales bacterium. RNAcentral's name for it is "partial 16S ribosomal RNA". It matches the Rfam family "Bacterial small subunit ribosomal RNA", at positions 767 to 1017 of the family's 1533-position model. The record is from RNAcentral. Lineage: Bacteria; Pseudomonadati; Pseudomonadota; Gammaproteobacteria; Methylococcales.
CGCAUAGUGGAUUAGAUACCCUAGUAGUCCACGCCGUAAACGAUGAGAACUAGCCGUUUGGCCCCUUGAGGGUUUAGUGGCGCAGCUAACGCGAUAAGUUCUCCGCCUGGGGAGUACGGCCGCAAGGUUAAAACUCAAGUGAAUUGACGGGUGCCCGCACAAGCGGUGGAGCAUGUUGUUUAAUUCGUCGCAACGCGAAGAACCUUACCACCCCUUGACAUCCACGGAACUUUCCAGAGAUGGAUUGGUGC